RNAcentral lists this unclassified non-coding RNA (221 nucleotides) under Glomus sp. RNAcentral describes it as "partial contains 5.8S ribosomal RNA and internal transcribed spacer 2". The stretch from base 1 to 71 matches the Rfam family "5.8S ribosomal RNA", at positions 84 to 154 of the family's 154-position model. Lineage: Eukaryota; Fungi; Glomeromycota; Glomeromycetes; Glomerales; Glomeraceae. The record is from RNAcentral.
GUGAAUCAUCGAAUUUUUGAACGCAAAUUGCACUUUCUGGUAUUCCGGAAAGUAUGCCUGUUUGAGGGUCAGUUAAAUAAAAAUCGGGGUUUUUGCUGCUUUUGGUGGUGAGGCGUCGGAAUUGAGUUGUCUUACCUUCGGGUAAGUGACUUAGAAUUGUGGAUUAUUUUCGAACGUAUUUAAAUUUCUUACUGACGUUUGAGUGAUAGAAUACUUUAUUA